Long non-coding RNA from Mastomys coucha (southern multimammate mouse), 1474 nucleotides. RefSeq lists it as uncharacterized. The record is from RefSeq and is a predicted model, not a curated record. The transcript has 3 exons. NCBI's taxonomy places the organism in Eukaryota, Metazoa, Chordata, Mammalia, Rodentia, Muridae.
CGAGAGCCCGGGCGUUUGCAACUUUUCCUUCGCUUUCUCUUCCACCGCCCCCCGAGAGGGAAGAAAAAUGUCUACAAGGAUGAAGAAGUGGAGGCAUUGUUAUCCACAUUUUGCAAAUAAGGAUCCAAGACACCAAUUGCGCAAGGUCAGCAGCUCUAUCCCAAAGCUAUUAAACUUUCCAUUACAAUAUAACCACCUGGCAGAGGUAUUGCCCAGAUAGGAUCAAACUGUGGAAAAUGUCAACAGCCCAGGAAGAGCGAAAAGCAGGGACAGGGAAGAACUUCAGGAUUUUGAACACGCAUGAUGAGAUUAAUGAGGAUACGUCUAGGUCGAGCUUCAGCUGGUCACAGGAAAUGGACUCUGGGAAAGGGUAGGCAAGACCUUAGAUAAAUGUCAUAGAUGGUAAGUACAUAGAAAUGGGGGAGGGGGAGGGAAAGACAAACAAGAUUAAAAUGUGAAGGAAAAUCUGUUUGUCUUUGGGGCUGAUCGGCUGAGAGCAACAAGAGAGAUCAAAGAAGAUUUGAGUCUAAAUGAUUCAGUGGGUUAUUGACGGGACAGAGACAUCAUACAAGGACCUGGUUUGUGUCUCCCCCCCCCCCAAAAUGUUUUUGAACAUAUUAUUCAUUUUAUAAAACAAUGACCUAAAGGGAUGAUCUAUAGGUAGUCCAGGAAUGGAGGUUUGGGGUUUGGAGCUCAGGUAAAGAGCAAAUGCUGGACAGCAGAAAGUGUUGACCACAGUUGACCAAAAAGGGCUAGACAACAGCCAGUGAAGGAAAAUGGUUACAACGGCAGCCCAGGGCUGCAGCUCAUCGGGUAGAGUGUUCACCCAGCAUACAAACCCAGGGUUCAGUCCCUGCCAUAAACUGGCCAUUUUGGCUGAUGCCUAUAAUCCAGGAGCUGGGGAGGUGGAACCUGAAUAAUCAAGAACUCAAUGUCAGGGCUGGAGAGAUGGCUUAGCUGUUCUUCCUUCCAGAGGACCUGGGUUCGAUUCCUACCAGCCACCCCACAGCCACUGACGAUCAUCUGCAACUCCAGUUCCAGGGAACCUAAUGUGCUUUUCUUCUGUUUGAGGGCACUGCACACACAUGGUGCACAGACACACUCGAAGGCACAGAAAAUGGAAAGGUUUCUUAAACCUUCACCAAAGCCCCUCGAGGUCAGCACUUUCUACCUAGCAAGUCUGAGGCCAACCUGAGUGACAGGAGAGCCUGUCUAAAAGUUGGCAGCUGUGGUGCCGAGGAAGUGAAAGGGCCUGUGAGGCUGCAGCCCAGCUGUCCUUGGCUUCUGUGGGUUUUUAACCUGGAAGACAGUGGGGCCAUCAGUUGGGAAUAACUUGCUACAAAGACUCCUCCUGGGAAGCGGGGUAUGGUGGUGCUCACCUGUAAUCCUGGAACGUGAGACUGCGGCAGGGGGAUCACAAGUUUAAGAACACUGUCUCAAAAAAAAUAAGAUAAAAUAAAAAUUAAAAACUAAA